UACAGAGGGGGGCAAGCGUUUAUUCGGAAUUAUUGGGCGUAAAGCGCGUGUAGGCGGCUUUGCAAGUCGGGGUGUGAAAAGCCCUCAGCUUAACUGAGGAAGUGCGCCCGAAACUGCAUGGCUUGAGUACCGGAGAGGGUGGCGGAAUUCCCCCAAGUAGAGGUGAAAAUUCGUAGAUAUGGGGAGGAACACCAGUGGCGAAGGCGGCCACCUGGACGGAUACUGACGCUGAGACGCGAAAGCGUGGGUAGGCAAACAGG
RNAcentral lists this ribosomal RNA (260 nucleotides) under uncultured bacterium. Its description in RNAcentral is "partial 16S ribosomal RNA". It matches the Rfam family "Bacterial small subunit ribosomal RNA", at positions 524 to 776 of the family's 1533-position model. The record is from RNAcentral.